RNAcentral lists this ribosomal RNA (274 nucleotides) under uncultured bacterium. RNAcentral describes it as "partial 16S ribosomal RNA". It matches the Rfam family "Bacterial small subunit ribosomal RNA", at positions 523 to 796 of the family's 1533-position model. The record is from RNAcentral.
AUACAGAGGGUGCGAGCGUUAAUCGGAAUUACUGGGCGUAAAGCGCGCGUAGGCGGCUUAUUAAGUCAGAUGUGAAAUCCCCGGGCUCAACCUGGGAACUGCAUCUGAUACUGGUAUGCUAGAGUUUUGGAGAGGGAAGUAGAAUUUCAGGUGUAGCGGUGAAAUGCAUAGAGAUCUGAAGGAAUACCAGUGGCGAAGGCGACUUCCUGGCCAAAAACUGACGCUGAGGUGCGAAAGCGUGGGUAGCAAACGGGAUUAGAAACCCUAGUAGUCC